Molecule: non-coding RNA, 27 nt
Filed under: Mus musculus (house mouse)
Lineage: Eukaryota; Metazoa; Chordata; Mammalia; Rodentia; Muridae
Source: RNAcentral
UGAGCCAGACUGCAUGUAAACAGUGCA